Molecule: ribosomal RNA, 407 nt
Filed under: uncultured bacterium
Lineage: Bacteria
Description: partial 16S ribosomal RNA
Rfam family: Bacterial small subunit ribosomal RNA
Source: RNAcentral
AUUGAACGCUGGCGGCAGGCCUAACACAUGCAAGUCGAGCGGAGCGGCGGACGGGAGAGUAAUGCCUAGGAAUCUGCCUGGUAGUGGGGGAUAACGUCCGGAAACGGGCGCUAAUACCGCAUAAUAUCAGCUGAGCCUAGGUCGGAUUGGCUAUUUGGUGGGGUAAAGGCCUACCAAGGCGACGAACCGUAACUGGUCUGAGAGGAUGAUCAGUCACACUGUAACUGAGACACUGGCCAGCCUCCUACGUGAGGCAGCAGUGGGGAAUAUUGGACAAUGGGCGAAAGCCUGAUCCAGCCAUGCCGCGGGUGUGAAGAAGGUCUUCAGAUUGUAAAGCACUUUAAGUUGGGAGGCGUUACCAACAGAAUAAGCACCGGCUAACUUCGUGCCAGCAGCCGCGGUAAUAC